UGCAUUGGAUUGAGAACAACGUACAACUCUUAUCGAUAAGCCAUUGGAGGGCAAGUCUGGUGCCAGCAGCCGCGGUAAUUCCAGCUCCAAUAGCGUAUAUUAACGUUGUUGCAGUUAAAAAGCUCGUAGUUGAAGUGAGGGAGUGUGUGUUCAUGAGAGCUAGUCUCGAGUGUUCACAACCUCCCCCCUCCAAUCGGUGUAGUGGGGUAUUCAGUUAUUUCACUACUCCUUUGGUCGUUUACUGUGAGAAAAUUAGAGUGUUCAAAGCGGGCGUUUGUUUGAAUAGAUUAGCAUGGAAUAAUGAUUGAAGGCUUUCGUGUUCGAUUUGAUUGGUUUGUUCAUGGAAGCAAGGUUAAAAGGAACAGUUGGGGGUAUUCAUAUUCACUAGUUAGAGGUGAAAUUCUCGGAUUUAUGGAAGAUGAACAAGUGCGAAAAG
Molecule: ribosomal RNA, 436 nt
Filed under: Blastocystis sp. subtype 2
Lineage: Eukaryota; Bigyra; Opalinata; Blastocystidae
Description: bacterial SSU rRNA
Rfam family: Eukaryotic small subunit ribosomal RNA
Source: RNAcentral